Molecule: ribosomal RNA, 253 nt
Filed under: uncultured bacterium
Lineage: Bacteria
Description: partial 16S ribosomal RNA
Rfam family: Bacterial small subunit ribosomal RNA
Source: RNAcentral
UACGUAGGGUGCAAGCGUUAUCCGGAAUUAUUGGGCGUAAAGAGCUCGUAGGCGGUUUGUCGCGUCUGCUGUGAAAACUGGGGGCUCAACCCCCAGCCUGCAGUGGGUACGGGCAGACUAGAGUGCGGUAGGGGAGAUUGGAAUUCCUGGUGUAGCGGUGGAAUGCGCAGAUAUCAGGAGGAACACCGGUGGCGAAGGCGGGUCUCUGGGCCGAUAUUGACGCUGAGGAGCGAAAGCGUGGGGAGCAAACAGG